Long non-coding RNA from Aphis gossypii (cotton aphid), 1770 nucleotides. RefSeq lists it as uncharacterized. The transcript has 2 exons. The record is from RefSeq and is a predicted model, not a curated record. Lineage: Eukaryota; Metazoa; Arthropoda; Insecta; Hemiptera; Aphididae.
AAAGUGUAGGAUAUACGCGGCAGUUGGCUCGAGAGAGGUAGGAACUAUGGACGAGAGGAGAAAGAGGAGGGAGGGAAUAGGAUGAGAAGGAGAAGGAGUAUAGUGGUAGUAUAAAGGGCGCAAGAAAUGGAAGAGGGGGAGAAGAAGAAGAAGUAAUUUACGAGCUUUGCAUAAAUACACGCGCGAGGAGGGUCAGAUGAUCGCAACGGCGGAGUGGUCGAGCAGAGCAUUGUGGCGGUCGGAGGGUGAGCGACCGAGCGUUCGAGCGGUGCGUAGCGGCUGAGCCGGUAGCAGCGGUGGUUAGCUGAGCAGGACGAAGUAUGUAGUGGACGAAAUACGGCAAAGACCGCGGCGUCGACGAGGGUUAUUUGGCGGGGUGAAAUUCGGAGGGAUGAUUUCGGAAGGGUCGCCGAUUGCAGGAAGAUGUGUACACUGGGAGUCUGCGUGUGACCUCUACUCGUGGCCACCAGGCAGCGCACUGUUCGAAAAUCACCCUACCUCCACGCACGUCCUGGUCCGAGAAAAGGGCGCGCCGCCGCCCCGAUCGAUACAGCCCGACGAGCCGGGACCACCGAGCAACCCCGAAAAACCAACGCCCGACGUGCGAUACUCCGACGGCAGACUCUAGGCAGACAACACGACUGUUCACUCUCUUCAUUCUGGUCAGCGACAGCCAGCGAGCAGGUCCUCUCUCGCAUUGCUCUUGUCGUCACCAAUGAUGACUCACUCACCGAGCGGGACACUCCACCGCUACUGACGUCACCGCUGCUACUGUCCGGUCGUACUACACGACUGUAUGAGUACCAUUUGGUCGAGUGGUAAUUGUACAGAGGGCCACCAAUCUUCAUCAUCAUCACACGGUGGUUAUGGAAACCGUCCGUCUUCGGUGUAGUGAUGCUCUACAUCUACCCUGUAGAUCCGAAUUUGUUUGAAAAACGGCGACAAAUUCGGUUCUAGAGAGGUUUGUGUGGUGCAUAUUCCUUACGACCAGAAUUUUUAUCGUCCAUGUGUGGUGGCCCCGACGGCAGCUUAGUUGUUAAAUAUAUAUAUAUUAUAUUAUAUCAUAUUAUACAUUUAUUUUGUACUUAUUAUACAUAUAUAUAUCAUAUAUAUAUAAAUAUUUAUAAGCACUGAUCAUCAACAUAAAACAAAUUAUGUUAUGUACUUUUUUAUGACUGAAAUAUACAAACAAUAAUUAUAACUACAUACCUAUAUUAUAUUUCAACGUUUAAUUUCAAACAUUUAAAAAAAUGAAUACUACCAAAUUGUUCUAAGAUUUUUAUAAAAAAAACCAACUUGACGAUAAUGUUAUAAAUACUUCGUACCUAUAAGAAAAAAUAAUUUAAAUUGUAUUAUUAAAUUGUUAUAUGUAAAUUUGUUAUAAGAAACAAUGUGUUUAAUAAAUCUUAAAGUUUAAUCAAGUGAUGUUUAAAUUUGUAUUUAUCUUACUAAGUAUUUACUCGUAAUUAACAUUAAUUAUAUAUCAUAACAAAAUAUGUUACUUUUAUUUUUGGGUGCUUUUCAUGAGGUGAGCAGUAAUUUACAUAAUUGCGACUUGAUGAAAAAUAUCCUAAAAUGAAAGUUUGUAUUAUUAUACAUUAUAUUGUUUACAAGUUAGUGUAUAAUUUUUUGAAUUAGAAAAAUAUGAUUAAUUAUAAUAUUUUGUAAAGUGAUAGUUGUAUUUAUCGAUAUCCUAUAUUUAGUAUUUACUUUUAAUUAUACCUAAAUGAUAUUAAUAGACUGAUUUAAUACCUUAAUAUUUAACUUUUA